This 496-nucleotide ribosomal RNA is filed under the name uncultured bacterium. Its description in RNAcentral is "partial 16S ribosomal RNA". It matches the Rfam family "Bacterial small subunit ribosomal RNA", at positions 29 to 507 of the family's 1533-position model. The record is from RNAcentral.
AUGAACGCUGGCGGCGUGCCUAAUACCUGCAAGUCGCGCGAACGGACGAGAAGCUUGCUUCUCUGAUGUUAGCGGCGGACGGGUGAGUAACACGUGGAUAACCUACCUAUAAGACUGGGAUAACUUCGGGAAACCGUAGCUAAUACCGGAUAAUAUUUUGAACCGCAUGGUUCAAAAGUGAAAGACGGUCUUGCUGUCACUUAUAGAUGGAUCCGCGCUGCAUUAGCUAGUUGGUAAGGUAACGGCUUACCAAGGCAACGAUGCAUAGCCGACCUGAGAGGGUGAUCGGCCACACUGGAACUGAGACACGGUCCAGACUCCUACGGGAGGCAGCAGUAGGGAAUCUUCCGCAAUGGGCGAAAGCCUGACGGAGCAACGCCGCGUGAGUGAUGAAGGUCUUCGGAUCGUAAAACUCUGUUAUUAGGGAAGAACAUAUGUGUAAGUAACUGUGCACAUCUUGACGGUACCUAAUCAGAAAGCCACGGCUAACUACGUG